Rhincodon typus (whale shark) is the source of this 332-nucleotide long non-coding RNA. RefSeq lists it as uncharacterized. The record is from RefSeq and is a predicted model, not a curated record. Lineage: Eukaryota; Metazoa; Chordata; Chondrichthyes; Orectolobiformes; Rhincodontidae. The transcript has 3 exons.
ACAAAGAAAGCCUGAUCACAGACAGUGGGAAGCUACACACUCUUGACAUCCUCCUAACACGGCUAAAAGCCCAGGGCCAUCGUGUGCUCAUUUAUUCCCAGAUGACACGUAUGAUCGAUCUGCUAGAGGAGUACAUGGUCUUCAGACAACAUACUUACAUGAGACUGGAUGGCUCAUCAAAAAUAUCUGAGAGACGGGACAUGGUGGCAGACUUCCAGAGCAGCAAUGGUAUCGAAUCAGGAGAGACUGGCUUCAUAAAUUGAAGAUGGAUGACAGAAACAGCAUGAACUAUCAAGAUAUGAGAGAAAUUCUCUGCCAGUAGUUUUCACCCC